This 66-nucleotide ribosomal RNA is filed under the name Fusarium sp. RNAcentral's name for it is "partial 18S ribosomal RNA". It matches the Rfam family "Eukaryotic small subunit ribosomal RNA", at positions 1766 to 1831 of the family's 1831-position model. The record is from RNAcentral. Lineage: Eukaryota; Fungi; Ascomycota; Sordariomycetes; Hypocreales; Nectriaceae. RNAcentral also lists the same sequence under 1 other name.
UGGUCAUUUAGAGGAAGUAAAAGUCGUAACAAGGUCUCCGUUGGUGAACCAGCGGAGGGAUCAUUA